This is a long non-coding RNA of Oreochromis aureus, 318 nucleotides long. NCBI's taxonomy places the organism in Eukaryota, Metazoa, Chordata, Actinopteri, Cichliformes, Cichlidae. The record is from Ensembl.
CACACACACACACACACAGAGCCUAAAGGGAACAGUAUUUGUGCCAUGGAGUGUUAACAAGAAUCUGAGGUCCAUAUUACAAAAGCUGCUAAAAUCAUAAAAGGUUGCAGAAUUGUAAUAAAUGAUGAAUAUGAAUUAGUGGUCUGUGAUAGUGUAUUAAUUUGUAGGGAAAAAACACAUGUUGUCCAAGGUGUAAUUGAACCCAUGACCUUUGGGUUGCAGACCUGUGUCAUUACCAACUGCGCCACUGGGAAAGAGAGCGAGUGCCUGGAAAACAGGGUGAUGAGCAGUCAGAAUCAGAUUGCGGUGAGAGGCGAA